GGUCUAAAUGCAACCUCAAAGUACAAGUUAAUGAUCAUUGGAAAUAGUUGGUCAGCAAAUCAUGGCACCAUGUUUCAUCAAGAAUGUGGUUAUAAAGCAAACACUAUCAUACAGGGAUCAUACCCAAGUAAGCUAAUAAUGUAAAGUAUUGUUCUCAGAACUUGUUUCAGCUUGUGAAAUGAUUUAUCCUACUGAACACCGGGGAGGAUGCAUAAGAGACUACCAUAAUUACUGAAUUCGUGUCGAAAAAGAAAAACCUGAUUACUUAUUUAUAAUCUCAAGGUAACCAGAAGUCUCCUGAUAGGAACUAAGUUUUCAUUUUCAGGUAUAUAUCUAUCGGUGAUCCGAUACCAACAAAUGUGACAAAAUUGAGUGAUGAUCCGAUCUAUCAAUCUAUGAAAUCUCAGCUUCUUGCAUUUCUAUCAAGUACCAAGUACAUGGUUUACAUUCUGAAUGCCUUGCCAGCACACGAUUUAAAUCAGACAGAGAAUAUUGGAAAAUGGCUAAAAGAAGGGGUAAAUCCUGUUGAAGUUGAGGUAAGACCCAAUCAAUUCAAGAUACUUGUUGAGCUUCACACAUAUAAAAUUAUAUUAACCGUUUCAGAGGCGCUUGGGUGAUGAGGUAGGCAAGCCGUACAAACAGGCGACCUACGAAAUGGCCCGGAAAAGAUAUGCGGAACUAGUGACAGAAUGUAAUGGGCGGUGUGCUCUGGUGGACUACAAGCUUGAAUUCUAUAACAAUGCCACUGACACCUACAAAUUAUUUGAUGACAGAGGAUUCGAAUACUUCACCUCUGGAUUACACUUGUCACCACAUGGACUGGAAAAAGUUCGACACAUUUGGACGGACCUUUGUUCGAAAUUUUAAUAUACUAUUCUGUAUUAAAUUAAAUAUUAAAUUAUAUACGGGGUUGUGAAAUCAAUUAUGUUAUAUAUGUAAACCAGCCGUGGUCCGCACCUCCGGCGCGGCCCCCGACUUCUGGAGCUGAAAACUAAUUUUUCUGAAGCUACCGUAAUCCUACAGUACUCCUACCGUACCACUAUUGUACCACUACAGUACCCCGACUAUAUCCCUACACUAAGCCCAACUCACUUUCUCUCCAGAAGCCAAAACGUCACAGACUACAAAGACUACAUAGACUACAAACUAUGGACAAACGGAAUAAGCGCUUUAUAUAUAGUAAAUGAUGAUUGGUGUUUUAUUUGUGAAAAUUUAAUUAAAUACUCCUUCUGGGAGAUGUCAAAUAAUUUAAUAAUAUUCUGAGCUGAAAAUUCGGGCAUUAGUUUCAUGAAUGUCCAAUUCAAUAGAGUUUCUUCUCCAAAUUUUUUGUUUUAGACUAUUUUGGCAAGAAUUCCAAAAUUUUAUCUAUUCUAUAAUAAUACCUUAUUCAACUUUUUAUUCUGGCUGUAAUUCAAAUUUAAAGUUUUUAAAAAAAUUUGUUGCAUUAUUUUCUUCAUAAAUCCAAUAAAGAUAUACCAAAAGAACAUUAAAUUAAAAAUUGUAAAAAAUUGUAUCAUUUCGGAAUUUCGGAAUAUUUCGGAACAGAGAUGGAAGGUAGAGAUUACUGUCUGCACAGCGGAUGUCGGUAGCUUUGAAAAAUUAUCGAAAUAUUGGCAAAAAAUUAAUUCAAACUUUUUAAAAAUUUGAACACAGUUAAUGUUUGAAGGCAUAAACUUAAAAAAUGAGAUGAAAAUGAAGAUUUUUCCGUCAUUUUGAAUUAAAAAAAAAUCAGCUUUUGGAUACUGUCAAUUAAAAAAAAUACUUCCGCACAAGCUAGCCUACUUAGUUUGGUAUUUUCUGGUAUAUUCGGCAAUACUUAACAGUUUUAUGAAAGAAAAAAAAGCACUUCAUAUGAUUUUAUCGUACUUUUCGAAGUUUCAAAAAAUCAGCUUUUAUAUAUUUUUAUCAAUUUUAAAAAAUUACUUCCGUACAAGCUAAUAUACUUUGAUCGGCAUUUUCUGGUAUUUUUGACUAUGCUGAAGAAUUUUAUGAAAUAAAAAAGAAUGACUCCAUAUGAUUUUCCCAUACUUUUGAAUUUUUGAAAAAAUCAGCUUUUAUAUAUUUUUAUCAAUUUAAAAAAAAAUUACUUCCGUACAAGCUAGCCUACUUAGUUUGGUAUUUUCUGGUAUAUUCGGCAAUACUUAACAGUUUUAUGAAAGAAAAAAAAAGCACUUCAUAUGAUUUUAUCGUACUUUUCGAAGUUUCAAAAAAUCAGCUUUUAUAUAUUUUUAUCAAUUAAAAAAAAAUACUUCCGUACAAGCUGAUAUACUUUUAUUGGCAUUUUCUGGUAUUUUUGACUAUGCUGAACAGUUGAUGAAAAAAAAGAAGCGCUUCAUAUGAUUUUACGGUACUUUUGAAGCUUUUAAAAAGCAGCUUUUAGUUAUUUUUGUCAAUUAAAAAAAAUUGGCAACACCAACUCAUCAGGAGUCAUGUCGCGACGACAUCUGAUAAAAUAUAAAUAUACACAACCGUGUGAAAAACCAGCAUGUUUGAUAACAUUUUGUAUGUCUUCAAACUGUUGAAAACGAUUAAUCAAAAUCUGUAGAAAUUCGAAAUUAAGUCCGUUGGCUUCUCUCACCACUUAACACUUAAAUUUCCUGCUUUUUAUUUGUGUUAGUUCAGAAAUCAAAACUGAAUUUCGAAUUUUCCGCCACGCUUUCUCAACAAAGGAGGCUCCACCCACCAGCAUAUUUGAGAGACACCAAGCUAUGCAUACUCUAAAAGGUUUUUUUUUGCUUUACAGCCGUGUUUAUUUAACUAAAAAUUUUGAUUUGUUAGAGAAGCGCAUAUUUUAGGAAAAUUUUGGGAAAGUUGAUAUUCUUAGGCACCUCUGUGUCAAGCUGUCCCAUUUCGGUUUGAUCUACGUAUAUCUACAAAAAAUGCGGGAGAAGAGACGCAGAGUUCUCCACUGAUUUCUCAUGGUUAUGAACGAGCUGACGUCACAUUUUUUUUUCAGGGAAAAAGUUCCCGCUUUAAUUGUAGAUCAAACCGUGAUGGGACAGCCUCUAUGGGUUUAAUAUCAAUUUUAAUGGGGGUGGCGACUUUUUUUGCCCCUUGUAACAGCCAUAAUUUGGGCCCAGGUGUCGCGAAUACGAUGGAGAAGAGCCUCCAACGAUCACGACUUUCAUAAUUAUUGCAUAAUUAUGCACUCUACAAUGGACGCUAGCAACACCGAGCACAUCUAUCACCAUUGCUCAAGGGACAACCGUACAGUCGAUACAUAUAAGGAACAACCACGUGAACCAUUUACGCCGUGAACUCCGGAUGGAUGCACACAAGGAGCAGCAGAGGAUGACAACAACAACAUUCACGCCAUGACCUUGCCACGCCAAUACGAACAACUCAACCUUGGACACGUGGACCACAUGGCCAACCUUGGUGGGACUUCCCGAAUCAGUUCUUACUUUAUGUUCUUACGUUACUUGUCUAUUAGUGUUACUAGUUGUCUAUAAUAAAUCCUUGUAGAGUCACCAAGUGUACUGUUAGUUUAACUUAUAUAAAAUACCACUGAACGCACUGCAAAACACCAGGGGCCCGUUUUUUCAAAUUUUCUGUUAAUUCCGAUUGUUUGUUUUAUUCUCGAAUUUGAUCAAUAGCUUUUUUAUUAUAAAAACUUAAGUUUCAGAUGGGUUCCUUGCCGAUAAAACUAUCCCCUAAAAGACUAGACCUACAAGGUAUCCGUGGUCUUGCUAUAAUUGCAGUUCUAGGCUUCCACUUCUACCCUGACACCUUCCCAAAUGGAUAUCUUGGAGUUGAUCAGUAAGUACCAAUUUUUUAAAAAAUUUCUCUAACAAUAGUUAUUACUUUCAGAUUCUUUGUUCUAUCUGGAUUUCUUAUGUGUAUGCUUUUGAAGAGAGCUAAAAAAGAGCCACCAUGUACUUUAAUAACAAUAUUCUAUACCAAAAGAUUCAGAAGAAUUCUACCACUUUACCUACUUGUCAUUUGUUGCUCCAUGAUUUGUCUCUAUGCAUUUUUCCCGGAAAUCGUAGUUGAAACAAAUCAAAAGUCUGCAUUGAGGGCUUUAUUUUUUGUGUCAAACACUCAAAAAACUGAAGCGCAAAACUAUUUUAUGAAAGUAUGUAAGAGGGUUUACAUUUUAUUGAUAUGUACUAUAUUCGGUGUUUCCAGCUAACAAAAGCAAUGGACAUCUUCACACAUACCUGGUCAUUGUCUGUUGAGGUUCAAUUCUACUUCCUAAUUCCCUUCAUUUUCCUGCUAGCAGCCAAACUUCCAUCGAAAUUUGAAAUUAAGUACUACGCAUUUAUAGGUUGGUGUGCAAUUUUUCUAACUCUUAAAAUAUAUCAGAAUUUCAGGAAUUGUCUCAUUUUCAUUUUUCUUCUCAUCACCUCAAUCGGUAGCUUUCAAUAGCGUUUUUGCAAGGAUAUGGCAGUUUUCAAUAGGCAAGUUGUUAAGAGGCUAGACAAGUUUCUAGUCACCCUUGGAAACAGAGCUGUCCGCCACAAAAAAUUUCGAGCAAAGAGUAACAUUUUUUGUUUAAAAUUUGGACUUAAAAAAAAAGAACAAUGAAUCUAGUUCCUCCAAAAAAAAAACAAAAAAAAAGACAACUCUGCUUGGAAACCAGAAAAAAGCAAAAAAAAAAACUGCUCUAAAAAAAUAUGAACGAAUGCUAAGUUGCCGUAUAUCCUUUAUUAGUAACUCGGCAAAACGGCCUAACUUCAUAGCAUACUCUUGCAACUACUUAACAACAAUUAGGCAUUUUAGCUUUUAAGCAAACUUCUGCAGCUUUUCAGACGACUUUUGCAAUUUCUUAGCAGAUGUAAAGCUAAAUUUCGCUCAUCCCGUUGGUUUUCGCAACUUCUUAACAGCUUUUUACAAAGUUAUACAAAGUUAAAAAUAAAUGUUUUUAUUAAGUUGCAGGAGUUUGCUAUGAAGUUGCGACGUUUUGCCGAGAAGGCGUGCAAAACUAAUAGAGGGUGCAAAACUAAUUUUCAAACUGGUUUCUUUCUCAUGUUUUCCAUUAAGUUAUGGCAUAAUAUCAUCAAUUUCAGUAACACCUUGUGAACCAAAAUGGACGAAUUUUAAGGCUGAUACGCAAAAACUGUCCAAGUUGUACUCAUAUUUUGCCAAUUUUGACUUGUUAUUCCAAGUCUGUAAGAAUUUUCCUGAUUUGUAAAACGAUUUUAUAAUGCAAAUUUUAAAUUCCUAAAAAUAGGGAACAAAUGAAAUGGGGUGCAAAACUAUUAGAGGUGCAAAACUAAUUUUCGAUGAGUGAUUUUAGAUGCACAACUAAUAGAGGCGCCUUACUAAUAGAGAAUAUACGGUAUGUACAGUUUUUCAGGCAUAAUUGUGUACCUUCUUGAAUAUUCAAAACUGCAAAACAGAAAAGAGACUCAAGCAUUUGAGAGCUUGCUCAUUGAUGAAGACUGCAAAAAUAUGAAAAAGCAACCAUCUUCAAGCUAUCCUGGUUUUACAAGAGGCAUUGCCUAUUUGUUAAUGAGCAGUCUUGUGCUCAUAGUUUCACUUUCAAUUCCAUUGAAUGUUUCAAUUGCAAGGUAAAGUAUAAGUGCUGGAGCGCGUUUGGCAGGCGUUCAAAUUAUAAUUUGUAAUGAAUUAACAGUUUUCCAAAAGUAUAUGCGUUUUUGGUUUUUUUUAUUAAAAUUUUUUUCACGGAAACGUGUGGCGAGAUGUCGGGCGCUGUAUAUAUUGUCAUUAUUUUUGUGAAGCAUUGCAAAAUACUUCAUCGUGCAUGAAAAAUCAAGAGCAACAAUUUGUUAGUUGAGCUUUUAUUGCAAAACUGUCUAGUUUCAAAGUUAUACUCGUUUGCAUUUUUUAAAAUAAUCCCUGAGAAACCAAAAAGGCAUAUAUUUUUGGCCGGAACUGUAGGUGCUAAUGAUUCUGGUCAACUAAACUAUCAUUAGGCUUUUUUAUAUUUCACAUUAAAUUUUGCUAUCCCACUGCUCCUUUUUCAGACCAUUAUUGACUAUUGGGACUGGGUGUUUAAUGCUUAUAUCUGAAGGCAACGCAGUUCUAUCUAAUAGAGUGUUAACCUACAUUGGUGAUAUCUCAUAUUCACUUUAUCUAGUUCAUUGGCCUAUUUAUGCCUACUGGAAGCUUACUAAUGAAGACAAUAAGUCAUGUUAGUUGAGAUGACGUUACUUGAAAAAUGUGCUAACUUUCAGUGCUAGUUGUGGCAUUGCUCAAUUCAAUUCUUCUGGCGGUUUUUGUAUUUGAAAUAUUCGAAAAAUGGUACCUCAAACUAACUUCUUCAAAACUUGCAUUGCUCGUCAUUUUACUAUUCUCACUCAAUAUGGUUCUAGUCAAUCGUGAUGAAUUUGCAAAUCAAAUGGAAAUUAACCGAAAUGACACCAACACCCGACAAAACCGCACCUCAAAUGCAGUUACAAGGCAUUUGCUGAUACAUAAUGUCAGCGACGAUAUGACUAUUGAUGAUGCAAUUCGACUGAAUAAUGACUGGAACAUUCAUGAUAUUCAAAACUUGAACGUCCCGUACUGCAAAUAUGAAACACAAGGCCCGCUUGCAUGGUGCAGUCAUCAGG
This 6518-nucleotide small RNA is filed under the name Caenorhabditis elegans. Its description in RNAcentral is "Unclassified non-coding RNA F35E2.13". Lineage: Eukaryota; Metazoa; Nematoda; Chromadorea; Rhabditida; Rhabditidae. The record is from RNAcentral.